RNA transcript from Sus scrofa (pig), 2736 nucleotides. RefSeq lists it as uncharacterized. The record is from RefSeq and is a predicted model, not a curated record. Lineage: Eukaryota; Metazoa; Chordata; Mammalia; Artiodactyla; Suidae.
AGAGCAACGAGGCUGCUGAGUGACUCUGGCGGGGAGAGGGGGCCACAAGAUGAUUCCCCGCCUAAAAAGGACAGCGGGAAUUUCUUCACGCUACCUCAGAAAGAAUCUGCCAACUGCUGCCAACAUUUACUCAUAAGUGCCUUGAGCUUUUUCAAAGAAAGAAGCUUGACUGAGCAAAUUAUAAGACCAUAAGUUUUCAUUUUCCCCAGUGUCUUUUCUGCCGUGGUAAUGGCUUGAGGACUUAAAUCCUAUGCUGUUAUUGUGACUUCAAAGCCUUAAAAAUGCAAUUGAAUGAGGCAGUUCAUCUGUCAUUAUUCAAAUAUGAAGCAAUUAUGAUGAAAUAAAGAUAAAACUCUAUUGGGAAAUAGUCCUGUCAGUUUUCACUUAUAUUUAAUUCAAAACAUAAAAUGAUACUUAGAAUAGUAAGUUGAGGUAAUAAAAUUGAAGAAUAAAAAAACAUGGAUUACUGAUCUAAAACUGGGUCAUUUGUGGAAGUUUCGGGGCAUGUAAAUAAAAUGUGUCACCAAGAUCAAAUGAGAGUUUGGUGCAUGAUAAAAACAAAACAAAAGCCAUUCCCCUCCCCCCGCCAAAAAAAAACCCUACUAAUCAUUUAACUUGUCAAAACAUACCUAAACAAGUGUUACCCACUAGAAGUUUGAAAAUCCUUCAAGAUCUUGGGUCUUUAGAUCUUAAAUGAAGUCAUGUUAAAAUAGAAAGAAAUGAAAAACCAAAUUUAAUUCCUUAGUAAGGAUUACAGAUCUUGUUUCAUUAAAAAAUUUGGUAGUGAUAUAACUCAAGUCUAAGAACAUGGUCCAAAUGUCCACUCAUUUUAAGUUAGAAAGACUGUUGGAUCCUCUUUAUAUACAAUGGGAAGUCCAUCAGAAUCCCAGGUAAGAACCCAUUGGUUUUUGGUCAAUGUAUUCUGAUCUCUAAGAGCCAGAAAAGUGAAAGGCAAUUCUAAAAAGCUCAUGGAAGGUAACCCCCAAAACUGUAUUGGGUGACAUAAUCAUUUCAGUACCUGCAACAUUUUUUUUACACCUGGUGGCAGUUGUGGCUUAGAUCCUCAGUUGCUGUGGCUGUGGCAUAGUCCAAGGUUGUGAAAGACCUGUAUAUUGGAAACUAUAAAAUAUAAUAAAUUUAUGAAAGAAAUAAAUGAAAGAAAUGGAAGAAGACACAAAGUUCAUGAAGUAGAAGAAUUCACGUUGCUAAAGUAUUCAUAAUAUGCAAAACAAUGUAUGGAUUCAACACAAUCCUUAUCAAAAUUGCAAUGAUGUUUUUCAUAGAAAUAGAAUGAACAAUCGUAAAAUUUCUAUGGGACAACAAAAGACCUCAAAUAGGAAAGCAAUCUUGAGAAAGAAGAACAAAGCUGGAGGCAUCAAGCACUCUUAUUUCAAACUAUGUUACGAAGCUAUGGUAGUUAGAAUGAUAUUAACAUAAAAACACAUAAAUUAGUGGACCAGAACAGAAAGCCUAGAAAUAAACCCAUGCAUACAUAUAUCAGUUAGUUUACAUCAGUGGUGCCAAAGGGUAUUCAAUGAGAAAAGAGCAUCUCUUCAAUAAAUGGUGAUGGGUAAAUUGGACCACCAUAUUCUAAAGAAUGCAGCAGGACCACUAUCUUAUACCAUACAGAUGACCAUUUAAAACAUUGUUUACAUUUACUUUGAAAUUUUAGAAAAAGUACUUUUCUGAAAAGUAUAUAGCUGCUAAGAAGGAAGUAAUACCCCAAUUAAAGUAGACAAGUUACACCUGUGAGAAUGUUGGGUAAAAGUUAUGAGAAGGCAUUGUUUCUUGAAUUUCUAAUAUUAAUUAGAAUAAUAAUCUAUUAUAGGUUAGAUAAAAAUUUGUGCAUAGAGUGCAAUUACUCUCUUUCCACUAAUUUCCUACCUGUGUGUUCAUUUCAAAAUUUGGGCUAGAAGGAAAAAACUGGUAUAUGUCUAAAGGCUGAGAGACUUUUGACCUAGAGAACUAAGGAUCAGGGUGGUUGUGGUAUUCAGAAAAUAUCUCCCUUUCUCCAUAGGUUUCAAGAGGUAGGAUUAGGUUAGUAUCAAGUAUUUUGAGUGGCAAAAUGCUAGGAUUAUGUUCAAAGCCACUGUGAGAGUUUGAAACAGGUAUGAAAGAAUGAACCAAGCAUUCACACAGGUGAUACCACCUCCUCUUGGCUGGGGUGGAAUCAAGUGCAUGGAAAGAGUUGCUCACGCACUUCUUACAAGUCAAUGAAUAGAUCUUGCUCUUCAUGCUAAAUUUCCCGUAUUUGAAAUGUGUGUAGCAGUUGAAGCCAGAUAAUCCUCUAAGGUGCUAUUCAGUUUUCUAACAGUAGAGAAGCAGGUUUAUGAGGACACUUGACCUGAAAACAGAAACAUCAGCAAGGCCUAUUUGUUAUCUCCACUGAGAGGGUUGUGUAUCAGUUGAGAAUUGCAGAAUCUUCACAGAAAGAGUAUAGAAAUAGGAAAAGUAACAUUCAAAGAAUGAGAACUUUAGAGUUCUGGUAAUUGACCGUGCUGGUCCUGAGUUUCUGCAUCUGUAAAAUGUGCGGAUUAGGAUGGAUGUAAGGGCCCAGGUGACCCCUAAACAAACCGCAGAUCCACAAAGAAGGUGACAUUGAAGACCUAUAUUCCUUAAUUAAGUUCAAUGUGAAUAUGUUUUCCUCCCUCCAUUAUGGGAUGCUAUUGUUGACUUCUAGAUAAAGUUCAUGGCUUAUAUUUUGUAAAAAUAAAUAUUUGGAAAUAUUUAUUUAUU